Molecule: unclassified non-coding RNA, 195 nt
Filed under: uncultured Cortinarius
Lineage: Eukaryota; Fungi; Basidiomycota; Agaricomycetes; Agaricales; Cortinariaceae
Description: sequence contains ITS2
Source: RNAcentral
AUAUAAUCUCAACCCCUUUUUCUUUUUGUUGAAGGGUUUUGGAUGUGGGGGGUUUGCUGGCCUUCUUAAAGAGGGUUCAGCUCUCCUGAAAUGCAUUAGCAGAAACGACCUUGCUCAUUGGUGUGAUAACUAUCAACGCUUAUGAACGUGAGGGGCAGUUCAGCUUUCUAACCGUCUUUGGACAAUUCAUCAUUA